RNAcentral lists this microRNA precursor (63 nucleotides) under Mus caroli (Ryukyu mouse). Its description in RNAcentral is "microRNA 7008 (MGP_CAROLIEiJ_G0007796.1)". Lineage: Eukaryota; Metazoa; Chordata; Mammalia; Rodentia; Muridae. The record is from RNAcentral.
UGCUCUGUGGGAAAUGCCAGGAGCCGUACGACUAACUGACGUGUGGUUCUUGCCUCUUCUCAG